RNAcentral lists this ribosomal RNA (391 nucleotides) under Physarum sp. RNAcentral's name for it is "SSU rRNA". It matches the Rfam family "Eukaryotic small subunit ribosomal RNA", at positions 76 to 405 of the family's 1831-position model. Lineage: Eukaryota; Evosea; Eumycetozoa; Physariida; Physaraceae. The record is from RNAcentral.
UCUCUCUGAAUCUGCGAACGGCUCCGCAAACCAGUUGUAAACUAUAGCAAGCAAGUUCUGGGGUCGGCCGCAAGGUUGGCCCUGGGGCAAUACGGAUAACCAUGGUAAUUCUGAGGCUAAUACGAGAUCAUAAAGCCUGGCCUGCUGGGCAACUGGCGGGCUGGGGGGCGUGUGACAUUGACCGCAAGUUUUGCCAGGACUGGGUGCACGCUAGGACCGCCUCAAAAACGGCUGGGGAUCACGAGCUGCUUCGGCGGUGACGUUUCCUGGUCGGGUGGCUCUUGCUGUGUGCUUCUGACCUAUCAACUAGAUGGCAGCAUAAGGGACAUGCUAUGGUAACAACGGGUACAGAGGAUAAGGGUUCGAUCCUGGAGAGUGGGCCUGAGAGAUU